This is a long non-coding RNA of Dreissena polymorpha, 680 nucleotides long. RefSeq lists it as uncharacterized. The transcript is spliced from 3 exons. The record is from RefSeq and is a predicted model, not a curated record. NCBI's taxonomy places the organism in Eukaryota, Metazoa, Mollusca, Bivalvia, Myida, Dreissenidae.
GUAUCUUUUGACAAACUUACGCAGCAAACAGUACAAUACAUGACCACAUAGUAUUUAUGUUACCAAGGAAAUAAAUAUAUAGCGUUUAAAAAAGAUCAACUAUGUCCAUAAGAAACAUGAACUACCUGCAAAUUCAAAGUUUAGGAAGCUGUACUUGUGCAGGGUGGCUGGGUAGUUCUUCUUGAAUGCUCUGAGCUUUUAUGAGUACAUACGUACAGCAUCCGGAGAGUCAAUAGCUGGGAGUUGGAUUAUUGCAACUAGGACCCGGAAGGUCAAUAGCUGGGAGUUGGAUUAUUGCAACUAGGUGAGUGGGGAAAGAAAUGUUCAUUUCGGAAUUGUUCACAGAAGUGCAUGAAACAGAUGCCUGAGAUGGAGUUGCAGUUGAACAUGAUGCCAAAAGGCAGUCGCGUGUGAGGGAAAAUUCUGGACCUCUGCUCCGAAAGAUAGAGAAUGGGUACUUUGCUCUUUGGAGUUUCCGCUCAAUGCUUCCCACAAUGCUACGCAAUGUGACAGGCUCGUUUUCAUCACCAUCACUCUUGUGAAUGGAGAGCAGAUAUGUGGCAAGAUAUUCAUCUAGAUGGUCGACUGAUAAAUUGUGGAUUGACUUCGUUUCGCCUUUCUUCGCAAGAUAUUUGUUGAAAUCGACUGACAUCUGCCAGUGUUUUCCGGAUAGUUUUUUG